Molecule: ribosomal RNA, 228 nt
Filed under: uncultured bacterium
Lineage: Bacteria
Description: partial 16S ribosomal RNA
Rfam family: Bacterial small subunit ribosomal RNA
Source: RNAcentral
CGGGUGAGUAAUGUAUGGGGAUCUGCCUGAUGGCGGGGGAUAACUACUGGAAACGGUAGCUAAUACCGCAUAAUGUCUACGGACCAAAGCGGGGGACCUCCGGGCCUCGCGCCAUCAGAUGAACCCAUAUGGGAUUAGCUUGUAGGUAAGGUAACGGCUUACCUAGGCGACGAUCCCUAGCUGGUCUGAGAGGAUGAUCAGCCACACUGGGACUGAGACACGGCCCAG